GACGAACGCUGGCGGCGUGCUUAACACAUGCAAGUCGAACGGUGAUGGCCAGCUUGCUGGUCUGAUCAGUGGCGAACGGGUGAGUAACACGUGAGCAACCUGCCCUAGACUCUGGAAUAACCAUGGGAAACGAUGGCUAAUACCGGAUACGAGACGCACACGCAUGUGUGGCGUCUGGAAAGAUUUAUCGGUCUGGGAUGGGCUCGCGGCCUAUCAGCUUGUUGGUGGGGUAGUGGCCUACCAAGGCGACGACGGGUAGCCGGCCUGAGAGGGCGACCGGCCACACUGGGACUGAGAUACGGCCCAG
Molecule: ribosomal RNA, 307 nt
Filed under: uncultured Cellulomonas sp.
Lineage: Bacteria; Bacillati; Actinomycetota; Actinomycetes; Micrococcales; Cellulomonadaceae
Description: bacterial SSU rRNA
Rfam family: Bacterial small subunit ribosomal RNA
Source: RNAcentral